UACGUAGGGGGCAAGCGUUGUCCGGAAUCAUUGGGCGUAAAGCGCGUGUAGGCGGCUUCGUAAGUCCGUUGUGAAAGUCCAGGGCUCAACCCUGGAAUGCCGAUGGAUACUGCGGAGCUAGAGUCCGGAAGAGGCGAGUGGAAUUCCUGGUGUAGCGGUGAAAUGCUUAGAUAUGACAUAGAACACCAAUUGCGUAGGCAGCUUACUACACGAUCAUUGACGCUGAGGCACGAAAGCGUGGGGAGCAAACAGG
This 253-nucleotide ribosomal RNA is filed under the name uncultured bacterium. RNAcentral's name for it is "partial 16S ribosomal RNA". It matches the Rfam family "Bacterial small subunit ribosomal RNA", at positions 524 to 776 of the family's 1533-position model. The record is from RNAcentral.